UGAAUUUAGUGAGAGGUUCAUCUGCAAAGCAUCAAUCUUCUAGGAGAGAAAAAAGAAAAAAGUGCAGAAAUCUUAUGCUGUCGAUCUCCAGCAGAGCAAACCAUCAAAGUUGACAAGAGCCAGGUAGAGUGCUUCUUUUGCAAGAAGCUGGAUCAUUGAAAAAAUAAUUAUCUUGCUUAUAUAGCCACCCUUGACCCAAACAGGCCUAAAAAUAAGAGAAAGAAGCAAGCGAUUGCUUUGUAAGGUACUUAUAUGAUAAUACCUUAUAAUUUUUCUGUUUGUGAUACUACUACCUGGGUAUUGGGUAUCGAAAGUUCUAUUAAUAUAUGCAAUUUAUUGUAGAGACUGCAGAUAAGUAGAAAGUUUCAAGAGG
RNAcentral lists this long non-coding RNA (373 nucleotides) under Elaeis guineensis (African oil palm). Its description in RNAcentral is "long non-coding RNA (EGUI_LNC057340)". Lineage: Eukaryota; Viridiplantae; Streptophyta; Magnoliopsida; Arecales; Arecaceae. The record is from RNAcentral.